AGGGCACCACCAGGAGUGGAGCCUGCGGUUUAAUUUGACUCAACACGGGAAAACUCACCCGGCCCGGACACCGUGAGGAUUGACAGAUUGAUAGCUCUUUCAUGAUUCGGUGGCGAGUGGUGCAUGGCCGUUCUUAGUUCGUGGAGUGAUUUGUCUGGUUUAUUCCGAUAACGAGCGAGACUCUAGCCUGCUAACUAGUUCAGGCAUUGCCUUGUGCUCUGUGACUUCUUAGAGGGAUUUUCGGUGUUUAGCCGCACGAAAUUGAGCAAUAACAGGUCUGUGAUGCCCUUAGAUGUCCGGGGCUACACGCGCGCUACACUGGCGAAAUCAGCGUGCUUGUCCUUUCCCGAAAGGGAUUGGUAAACAAAUGAAAAUUUGCCGCGAUUGGGAUCGGAAAUUGCAAUUAUUUUCCGUGAACGAGGAAUUCCAAGUAAAUGCGAGUCAUCAACUCGCGUUGAUUACGUCCCUGCCCUUUGUACACACCGCCCGUCGCUGCCCGGAACUGAGCCAUUUCGAGAA
RNAcentral lists this ribosomal RNA (519 nucleotides) under uncultured eukaryote. RNAcentral describes it as "SSU rRNA". It matches the Rfam family "Eukaryotic small subunit ribosomal RNA", at positions 1161 to 1705 of the family's 1831-position model. The record is from RNAcentral.